Molecule: non-coding RNA, 21 nt
Filed under: Caenorhabditis elegans
Lineage: Eukaryota; Metazoa; Nematoda; Chromadorea; Rhabditida; Rhabditidae
Source: RNAcentral
CCUUGUGAAAGAAUUGAAUUA